GUGGGGAAUAUUGGACAAUGGGCGCAAGCCUGAUCCAGCCAUGCCGCGUGAGUGAUGAAGGCCUUAGGGUUGUAAAGCUCUUUUGUCCGGGAAGAUAAUGACUGUACCGGAAGAAUAAGCCCCGACUAACUUCGUGCCAGCAGCCGCGGUAAUACGAAGGGGGCUAGCGUUGUUCGGAAUCACUGGGCGUAAAGCGCACGUAGGCGGACCAUUAAGUCAGGGGUGAAAGCCUGGAGCUCAACUCCAGAACUGCCUUUGAUACUGAUGGUCUCGAGUUCGGAAGAGGUUGGUGGAACUGCGAGUGUAGAGGUGAAAUUCGUAGAUAUUCGCAAGAACACCAGUGGCGAAGGCGGCCAACUGGUCCGAUACUGACGCUGAGGUGCGAAAGCGUGGGGAGCAAACAGGAUUAGAUACCCUUGUAGUCC
RNAcentral lists this ribosomal RNA (425 nucleotides) under uncultured bacterium. RNAcentral describes it as "partial 16S ribosomal RNA". It matches the Rfam family "Bacterial small subunit ribosomal RNA", at positions 354 to 796 of the family's 1533-position model. The record is from RNAcentral.